This 328-nucleotide long non-coding RNA is filed under the name Rattus norvegicus (Norway rat). Its description in RNAcentral is "long non-coding RNA NONRATT017212". The record is from RNAcentral. Lineage: Eukaryota; Metazoa; Chordata; Mammalia; Rodentia; Muridae.
UGAGUGCUGAGUGGCCUGUGACUGGCUGAGUGGCCCAUGACUGGGCCUCCUAUCCGCUGCUGUGGCGGCCCACAACCAGCCCACAAACCUGUCUCUUCCCAGUCUGCAGCAGCCUCAAGGAAGCCGCUCCUGACCUCGCAGCGGUCCAUCUGCGCUCAGACCCAGAUGGUGGCAGAGCUAUGACCAGGCCUGCAGGCGCCACGCCAAGUGGGGGUCAGUCAUGGAACAGCCACAGGAGGAGACCCCUGAGGCCCGGGAAGAGGAGAAAGAGGAAGUGGCCACGGGUGAUGGAGCCCCAGAGCUCAACGGGGGACCAGAGCACACCCUU